CCCUUAGAUGUUCUGGGCCGCACGCGCGCUACACUGACGGAUUCAACGAGCUUACAACCUUGGCCGAAAGGUCUGGGUAAUCUCCAAAAUCCGUCGUGAUGGGGAUAGAUUAUUGCAAUUAUUAAUCUUCAACGAGGAAUGCCUAGUAAGCGCAAGUCAUCAGCUUGCGUUGAUUACGUCCCUGCCCUUUGUACACACCACCCGUCGCUCCUACCGAUUGAAUGGUCCGGUGAAGCGUUUGGACUAUGGUUUUCUGAUGGUCCGCCGUUGGAUUACCGUGGGAAGUUCGUUAAACCUUAUCAUUUAGAGGAAGGAGAAGUCGUAACA
Molecule: ribosomal RNA, 327 nt
Filed under: uncultured eukaryote
Lineage: Eukaryota
Description: partial 18S ribosomal RNA
Rfam family: Eukaryotic small subunit ribosomal RNA
Source: RNAcentral